Pseudopipra pipra is the source of this 991-nucleotide long non-coding RNA. RefSeq lists it as uncharacterized. The transcript is spliced from 2 exons. The record is from RefSeq and is a predicted model, not a curated record. NCBI's taxonomy places the organism in Eukaryota, Metazoa, Chordata, Aves, Passeriformes, Pipridae.
CCCAAUCAAAAUGUCAGCACUUACCUGCUGCUCAACACUUCAGACACAUGGGCUGUCAUAUCAGUCAGUGACUGAUCAGGCGCAGAAAUCAGAUAGAGCUUUCUCUUGACAACCAGAUAUGAUCAGAGUACAAGUUACACAUCGGUCUCCGAAGCCUAACCAAUGCAUGCUCAAGUUAGCAGAAGGCAGCUUUACUGUUUAUGACAUACCUGCCAUCAUCUCUACAAAUCCUUGGGGAGAAUAGGCCAGUGAGAACAGCAAUAGGUGCAAAAAACAACCCCUCCUCCUUUUCUGUGUGUGAUUAAGUCCAAAAAUGCUAAACAGCCACUCUCAGGAGCAAAAGUUCUCUGCAUACUCACAGAAGUAGUAAAAAACACAAGGAUAAAGAAUGACCACCUUAAGGCUGAAUACCCACUACAAAGUCUAAAUCCAGCAGUGAAGAAAGGAGUCAUUCUUGAAGUAGGCCUCCACAGAAGUCUUCUGGCAUGCUCAUCUAGUGGGAAGAAGACAGUCAUCUUGUCAAGAUGCUGUUCGCUCAACGAGUCCACAGCCCCAAGGCAACACCGAGCAAAUGCUGGCGAGGAGGUCUGACACUGCACUAUUUCUAGCUCACACCAAUGACUUCGACACAAGCAACGUGGCCCAACAAAACAGGUCCAGCCAUUCCAGUACUAAGUUUAUCAGUAAUAAUGUCAAAGCUCCACAAAACUUUUCUUCCCGUCACAAGUGCAAAAAGCCUAUGCCGGUAUGACCUUAGAUUGUUUUUAGCUCAUGAGUUAAGUUUGCCCAGUGCUGUCAUCUUCUAAUACAGAGCAUGAGCCGGACAGCAGGAAAUGACUGCAGAAGCCACAGCUGUUGCAGAGCCCAGUCUUCAUCUUCCAGCCAUGAGAACUACUCUAUUUCCUUCUUUGAUCAACAUGUCCAAUGACUAAAAACGGAUUGUGGCCCAAACCUGCUAAUAAUAAAGAAAUUUCCACCAUUCCCAUCACUA